This 1414-nucleotide ribosomal RNA is filed under the name Levilactobacillus brevis. RNAcentral describes it as "partial 16S ribosomal RNA". It matches the Rfam family "Bacterial small subunit ribosomal RNA", at positions 74 to 1413 of the family's 1533-position model. Lineage: Bacteria; Bacillati; Bacillota; Bacilli; Lactobacillales; Lactobacillaceae. The record is from RNAcentral.
UUUAACACAAUNAAGGGNGAGUGGNGAAAUCUGGUGAGUAAAACCACGUGGGAAUUUAUCUGCCCNGAAGCAGGGGNUAACAUUCUUGGGAAAACGGGNGGUGNUAAUACCGUUAAUAANAACAAAAUCCCCGCGAUGGUNUUUUNUUUNAAAGGGNGGUNUUCGGCUAUACACUUCUGGNUGAUUUCCCCGCGGNGUUNUUAGUUAGUUGGGUGNGGAUAAAGGCCCCCNCCAAAGGACNAUGAUACGUGAGCCGACCUGAGAAGGGUUAAUCGGCCCACAUUGGGGACUGAGACACCGGGCCCCAAAUUUCUCCUACGGGNGGCAGCAGUAGGGAUAUNUUCCACAAUUGGACGAAAGUCUNNUGGGAGCAAAUGCCGCGUGAAGUGAAGAAAGGGUUUUGCGGCUCGUAAAANUCUGGUUGUUAAAGAAGAACACCCUUUGAGAGUAACUGUUCCAAGGGGUUGACGGUAUUUAACCNGAAAAGCCACGGCUAACUACGUGCCAGGCAGCCGCGGUAAUACGUAGGUGGCCAAGCGUUNUCCGGAUUUAUUGGGCGUAAAGCGAGCGCCAGGCGGUUUUUUAAGUCUGAUGUGAAAGCCUUUCGGCUUAACCGGAGAAGUGCAUCGGAAACUGGGAGACUUGAGUGCAGAAGAGGACAGUGGAACUCCAUGUGUAGCGGUGGAAUGCGUAGAUAUAUGGAAGAACACCAGUGGCGAAGGCGGCUGUCUAGUCUGUAACUGACGNUGAGGCUCGAAAGCAUGGGUAGCGAACAGGAUUAGAUACCCUGGUAGUCCAUGCCGUAAACGAUGAGUGCUAAGUGUUGGAGGGUUUCCGCCCUUCAGUGCUGCAGCUAACGCAUUAAGCACUCCGCCUGGGGAGUACGACCGCAAGGUUGAAACUCAAAGGAAUUGACGGGGGCCCGCACAAGCGGUGGAGCAUGUGGUUUAAUUCGAAGCUACGCGAAGAACCUUACCAGGUCUUGACAUCUUCUGCCAAUCUUAGAGAUAAGACGUUCCCUUCGGGGACAGAAUGACAGGUGGUGCANGGUUGUCGUCAGCUCGUGUCNUGANAUGUUGGGUUAAGUCCCGCAACGAGCGCAACCCUUAUUAUCANUUGCCAGCAUUCAGUUGGGCACUCUGGUGAGACUGCCGGUGACAAACCGGANGAANGUGGGGAUGAACGUCAAAUCAUCAUGCCCCUUAUGACCUGGGCUACACACGUGCUACAAUGGACGGUACAACGAGUCGCGAAGUCGUGAGGCUAAGCUAAUCUCUUAAAGCCGUUCUCAGUUCGGAUUGUAGGCUGCAACUCGCCUACAUGAAGUUGGAAUCGCUAGUAAUCGCGGAUCAGCAUGCCGCGGUGAAUACGUUCCCGGGCCUUGUACACACCGCCCGUCACACCAUGAGAGUUU